AUGCACCUAUCAGGGCAUUCCAGUAUCCGACAAAGAAUUGCCAAAAAACUGGUUCGACGAGGGUAUUCAGAUAAGGAUCUUAAACCCUUUUGUUCUGAAAGCUUGGCACAAAUCUAAGGUACAAUCUACUGAAAAAAAAAAAAAAAAAAAGAUCCACAGAAAAAAAAUAUACUGAAAACAAAAACUUCUGGUUUUUAACAGGUUAUGGAACACUAGUAGAAUCGUACCUUGAUGAGGGUUUCCCAAGAGACCCACUUUCAAUUUUUGGUCCCGUUUUAAAAACAAUAAGAAAACAAUUGAAAAAAGAUUUGAAAAAGCAUUUUUUUCUAGUU
RNAcentral lists this long non-coding RNA (332 nucleotides) under Medicago truncatula (barrel medic). RNAcentral describes it as "lncRNA gene35635". The record is from RNAcentral. Lineage: Eukaryota; Viridiplantae; Streptophyta; Magnoliopsida; Fabales; Fabaceae.